Molecule: non-coding RNA, 683 nt
Organism: Drosophila melanogaster (fruit fly)
Lineage: Eukaryota; Metazoa; Arthropoda; Insecta; Diptera; Drosophilidae
Source: Ensembl
GCAAUGAUACAUAAAUUUGAAUACCCUGCCGACCCGAGCACACACACCUUAACAGGCGUUGACAUUAAUAUCACUUUACCCCAAUCUGUCCAAUUUACCAAUAAAACUCUUGAAUCUCGGCUCAAAGUGCUUUAAACUGCAAUGGGCCAGGUAAAAGUGAGUGAGUCAGUAUUCGAGUAUGUAUCCUGAGCUGCCCGGGUGUUUGUUUGUGCGGCUGUGCCUUUUAACUUUUGCAUAAAAACAACGAACGCAGCCGGCAGCAGUUAGUGGAUGGAUGGAUGCAGGAUGCAGGCCAGAUCCAAGACAAGGAUGCAACUUUCAGCUGCUAAACGAAAAUAUAAAACACUUAACUCGACUGCAUGGGCGACAAUCCCCUCCAUUUGUCCCUGGGAGCCCGCAGAUCCUCCUCUGCCUGGCGACACAUUCAACUGCACUCUCGUCCUGGAGACUGGCAACAAUUUGAUGGCACUGAGAGCAGUGGGGGAAGCCCUUCCCCUUUGGGCCGGGCCAACAAACCCAGACACUGGCAUCCCCUGGCUGCGAAUUUAGGUCACUUUUUGGCAGCCAACAACAGUGAGCCGGAAGUGCAGAAAAUUUGGCCUAAAAAUAACAUUUAUUUGUGUGCAGCUCACUGACGUUUAGUUUUACGAACUCUAUUACGAUUACGAUUAUGGGGGCACUUU